UUUGUGCUAUAGACAAAGUUUGCCCCCCCCCCCCAAAUUUUAACUCCUCAGUGUGAUGGUAUUAGGCGGUGGGGCCUUUGGGAGGUGAUUAGGUCAUGAAGGUGGAGCCGUCAUGAAUAUUUGUGCCCUUACAAAAGAGACCCCAGAGGGCUCCCUUACCUCUCUGCCGUAUGAGGCGGCAACAAGAAAAUGCCAUCUAGGAACCAGGAAGUGGGUCCUCCCCAGACACCGAAUCUGCUAGUACCUUGAUCUUGGACUUCCCAGACUCCAGAACUAUCCAGAAAGGCCCCAGACAUUCAGAUCAAAUAGGUAAAACAAUGGAUGAUCCAAAUUGUUGAUGGCCUCUCCCCAUCCAGGUGCCCAUCCACCUAUGAGAAAGAGUCCAGAGCCAAAGAGCCUUGCUCCUCCAGUAAUGGUAAGUAAUGUAGGAAAGGAGCAAACAGACAGACACUUCCUGUACCAGUAGGAGUUAUCACCAUGCACCUCAAGUACCCGCAUCAGAAAACAAAGCCAAAGCAAUCAAACACCAAACCAGAACCCAAGAGAACCAAAAAUAACAAGGUUACCCUUGCACCCUUCCUUGUAUGUUCCAGACUCACAACAAAACAAGCUUACCUCUGACUUUCACAUUCCGGAUGUCUAAGGAUACGACAUGUUUGUGAAUACGAAAAUCAUGUCCAAAAACGCUUUUCCAUCAUGAAUGGACUAACUGUAAGAUUAGUAAUUUUGUGGGGUUUUACUUUAAAGAACUGUUAUGUUUCUUAUCUGAUAAACUAGGUGUUCUUUGCAGAUUCACUUCUUAAUUCUUGUCUCUGAUUCCACAUCCACAUAGAAGAUAUAUUCCUGGUGAUUUUCCUCUAAAACUGUCCCAAAGAUAAAAGAUCAGAAGGUCAAAAAUCCUGAAUCAUCGUCCAUCACUUGUUUCUUUGCAGGCAAUUUAGGUAAUUUGUCAUUCAGCCCUAUUGAUCUUUUUC
This is a non-coding RNA of Kogia breviceps (pygmy sperm whale), 974 nucleotides long. NCBI's taxonomy places the organism in Eukaryota, Metazoa, Chordata, Mammalia, Artiodactyla, Physeteridae. The record is from RefSeq and is a predicted model, not a curated record.